RNAcentral lists this ribosomal RNA (754 nucleotides) under Nematoda environmental sample. Its description in RNAcentral is "SSU rRNA". It matches the Rfam family "Eukaryotic small subunit ribosomal RNA", at positions 134 to 896 of the family's 1831-position model. The record is from RNAcentral. Lineage: Eukaryota; Metazoa; Nematoda.
CCUACUUGGAUAACUGUGGUAAUUCUAGAGCUAAUACAUGCAUUAAAGCUCUGACCUCACGGGAAGAGUGCAUUUAUUAGAACAAAACCAAGCGGCUUCGGCUGUUUCUGGUUGACUCAUAGUAACUGAGCUGAUCGCAUGGUCUUGCACCGGCGACGUGUCUUUCAAGUAUCUGCCGUAUCAACUUUCGAUGGUAGUGUAUCUGACUACCAUGGUGAUCACGCGUAACGGAGAAUAAGGGUUCGGCUCCGGAGAGUUCGCCUGAGAAAUCGCGAACACAUCUAAGGAAGGCAGCAGGCGCGAAAAUUACCCACUCUCAGCACGAGGAGGUAGUGACGAAAAAUAACGAGACCGUUCUCUUAUGAGGCCGGUCAUCGGAAUGGGUACAAUUUAAACCCUUUAACGAGUAUCUAUGAGAGGGCAAGUCUGGUGCCAGCAGCCGCGGUAAUUCCAGCUCUCAAAGUGCAUAGAAUUAUUGCUGCGGUUAAAAAGCUCGUAGUUGGAUCUGUGCCAUAGGACGUGGUCCACCUUCGGGUGCGUACUACGCUCCUAGGCUUUUUGCUGGUUUUCCCGUCGUAGCCUUCACUGGUUGCGGCGGGUGGCUGGCGAGUUUACUUUGAGAAAAUCAGAGUGCUCAAUACAGGCGUAUCGCUUGAAUGAUUGUGCAUGGAAUAAUAGAAAAGGAUUUCGGUCCUCUUUUAUUGGUUUUGUGGACUGAGAUAAUGGUUAACAGGGACAAACGGGGGCAUUCGUA